UACAGAGGUCCCAAGCGUUGUUCGGAUUCACUGGGCGUAAAGCGCACGUAGGCGGAUUGUUAAGUCAGGGGUGAAAUCCUGGAGCUCAACUCCAGAACUGCCUUUGAUACUGGCGAUCUCGAGUCCGGGAGAGGUGAGUGGAACUGCGAGUGUAGAGGUGAAAUUCGUAGAUAUUCGCAAGAACACCAGUGGCGAAGGCGGCUCACUGGCCCGGUACUGACGCUGAGGUGCGAAAGCGUGGGGAGCAAACAGG
Molecule: ribosomal RNA, 253 nt
Filed under: uncultured bacterium
Lineage: Bacteria
Description: partial 16S ribosomal RNA
Rfam family: Bacterial small subunit ribosomal RNA
Source: RNAcentral